GGUCUUGGCAUGACUUUAAUUGCAACUAUUGCCAGUAUUUGGAUUUCUUUUCUCUACUUAUGGUCUACUCUAUGGGUAUAAAAGCUGUACCAAGUUCAAGCACCCUGAAUUCGAUACAUCCGAAGUCCAUCAUCACCACUUUCAAUUCUUGAUAGGUGACUGCCACUCCUGUGAUCAAUUUGAUUCUCUGUGACUGUGCUUG
This 202-nucleotide unclassified non-coding RNA is filed under the name Hevea brasiliensis (rubber tree). Lineage: Eukaryota; Viridiplantae; Streptophyta; Magnoliopsida; Malpighiales; Euphorbiaceae. The record is from RNAcentral.